Molecule: long non-coding RNA, 1055 nt
Organism: Hermetia illucens (black soldier fly)
Lineage: Eukaryota; Metazoa; Arthropoda; Insecta; Diptera; Stratiomyidae
Exons: 3
Source: RefSeq, a predicted model, not a curated record
AAAGUUUGCUAUACUUGGACAGUUGCGUUUUUUCUCUAUUUUCAGUUUAGUCAGGAUUCUGGGACGCUUUCCUCUAAAAUCGGAUAUUGGGUUUAGCCUGAAACAGUCAUCGUAUUCCAAAAUUAUCAAUUAUGAAAUUAUCGCACAUGUUCCCGGAAUGUAGCUCGUGUUUUAGUCAUUUUUAAAUAAUCAGAAUUUUGAGCUAAUCUCCGGGUUUCAAUCUUGGAAUCAGGCGCCCAACAAAAAAAAAGAAACCAAUAAAUGGAGAGAUAUUGUGGAAGUUCUUCCAUUAUGCAAUUGGAUCCCAUCAUUGCUUUAUUUAUUUGCACUUCAACAUUAAUAGUGAUAAGGAAGGAACUGUAAUCAGUACCCGGGCAUAGCAUUUUUCUUAUUUUUAUUAAACGUUCAUACCGUGAAAAUAAAACAAACUUACGAAUGAACUUUCGUUUAAUAUCAAAAGGCCAAGCUAAUUGCGCCUUACGGUAAAUCCGAAUUAUUGUUAUCAGAGAAUCGGAUUUGUUUGGAUUAGUGUCAUAAUGAAUGUUAGUCUACUUUAACUAGAAGUACUAACGGUAUAUAGGAACAAACGUAGUUCUAUCGUGAAGCUACCAUUAAACUGCAUAGCAUACAUUCUACCGAUCUGUAAAAUUGCAAACAGAUUUCGGGUUAUGGGCAACAGCAGCCUUGUCCGUACUCCAUUUGAAAAUUCUUCAAAUUUGAGCUACUUUCUAUGUAUAUGUAUAUCGAAUUGCCUACCUCGGAUAGUUUUCAAAUUGCCUUUACUUGCAAACUUAAAUUAAAUGACUACACCACUGUAGAGGCCGAAAUACAAAUCAAAUUUUUUUUUGUUUUUUUAUUUCUAAAAAAAAAAAAAUAAAUAAAUAAAAAUGUGGUUAUUGUUCAAAGCAAAAUAGGGACUUCUUAGUGUUUUCGCACAUCAUAGCUGGCACGCAGGCAUAGGCCGGACUGAUAACCGCAAAAUUUUAAGGAUACAGUGCUGAAACAAAAAGAAAUCGAUUUCCUUUUCUUUCUUUACUUUUUAUAAUUUGAUUUUU